RNAcentral lists this ribosomal RNA (2084 nucleotides) under Salmonella enterica. RNAcentral's name for it is "partial 23S ribosomal RNA". It matches the Rfam family "Bacterial large subunit ribosomal RNA", at positions 869 to 2925 of the family's 2925-position model. Lineage: Bacteria; Pseudomonadati; Pseudomonadota; Gammaproteobacteria; Enterobacterales; Enterobacteriaceae. The record is from RNAcentral.
UUUAGGUAGCGCCUCGUGAAUUCAUCUCCGGGGGUAGAGCACUGUUUCGGCUAGGGGGCCAUCCCGGCUUACCAACCCGAUGCAAACUGCGAAUACCGGAGAAUGUUAUCACGGGAGACACACGGCGGGUGCUAACGUCCGUCGUGAAGAGGGAAACAACCCAGACCGCCAGCUAAGGUCCCAAAGUCAUGGUUAAGUGGGAAACGAUGUGGGAAGGCCCAGACAGCCAGGAUGUUGGCUUAGAAGCAGCCAUCAUUUAAAGAAAGCGUAAUAGCUCACUGGUCGAGUCGGCCUGCGCGGAAGAUGUAACGGGGCUAAACCAUGCACCGAAGCUGCGGCAGCGACGCUGAUGCGUUGUUGGGUAGGGGAGCGUUCUGUAAGCCUGCGAAGGUGGCCUGUGAGGGUUGCUGGAGGUAUCAGAAGUGCGAAUGCUGACAUAAGUAACGAUAAAGCGGGUGAAAAGCCCGCUCGCCGGAAGACCAAGGGUUCCUGUCCAACGUUAAUCGGGGCAGGGUGAGUCGACCCCUAAGGCGAGGCCGAAAGGCGUAGUCGAUGGGAAACGGGUUAAUAUUCCCGUACUUGGUGUUACUGCGAAGGGGGGACGGAGAAGGCUAUGUUGGCCGGGCGACGGUUGUCCCGGUUUAAGCGUGUAGGUGUGUGUUCCAGGUAAAUCCGGUUCACUUUAACACUGAGGCGUGAUGACGAGGCACUACGGUGCUGAAGCAACAAAUGCCCUGCUUCCAGGAAAAGCCUCUAAGCAUCAGGUAACAUCAAAUCGUACCCCAAACCGACACAGGUGGUCAGGUAGAGAAUACCAAGGCGCUUGAGAGAACUCGGGUGAAGGAACUAGGCAAAAUGGUGCCGUAACUUCGGGAGAAGGCACGCUGACACGUAGGUGAAGUGAUUUACUCAUGGAGCUGAAGUCAGUCGAAGAUACCAGCUGGCUGCAACUGUUUAUUAAAAACACAGCACUGUGCAAACACGAAAGUGGACGUAUACGGUGUGACGCCUGCCCGGUGCCGGAAGGUUAAUUGAUGGGGUCAGCGCAAGCGAAGCUCCUGAUCGAAGCCCCGGUAAACGGCGGCCGUAACUAUAACGGUCCUAAGGUAGCGAAAUUCCUUGUCGGGUAAGUUCCGACCUGCACGAAUGGCGUAAUGAUGGCCAGGCUGUCUCCACCCGAGACUCAGUGAAAUUGAACUCGCUGUGAAGAUGCAGUGUACCCGCGGCAAGACGGAAAGACCCCGUGAACCUUUACUAUAGCUUGACACUGAACAUUGAGCCUUGAUGUGUAGGAUAGGUGGGAGGCUUUGAAGUGUGGACGCCAGUCUGCAUGGAGCCGACCUUGAAAUACCACCCUUUAAUGUUUGAUGUUCUAACGUGGACCCGUGAUCCGGGUUGCGGACAGUGUCUGGUGGGUAGUUUGACUGGGGCGGUCUCCUCCUAAAGAGUAACGGAGGAGCACGAAGGUUGGCUAAUCCUGGUCGGACAUCAGGAGGUUAGUGCAAUGGCAUAAGCCAGCUUGACUGCGAGCGUGACGGCGCGAGCAGGUGCGAAAGCAGGUCAUAGUGAUCCGGUGGUUCUGAAUGGAAGGGCCAUCGCUCAACGGAUAAAAGGUACUCCGGGGAUAACAGGCUGAUACCGCCCAAGAGUUCAUAUCGACGGCGGUGUUUGGCACCUCGAUGUCGGCUCAUCACAUCCUGGGGCUGAAGUAGGUCCCAAGGGUAUGGCUGUUCGCCAUUUAAAGUGGUACGCGAGCUGGGUUUAGAACGUCGUGAGACAGUUCGGUCCCUAUCUGCCGUGGGCGCUGGAGAACUGAGGGGGGCUGCUCCUAGUACGAGAGGACCGGAGUGGACGCAUCACUGGUGUUCGGGUUGUCAUGCCAAUGGCACUGCCCGGUAGCUAAAUGCGGAAGAGAUAAGUGCUGAAAGCAUCUAAGCACGAAACUUGCCCCGAGAUGAGUUCUCCCUGAGACUUUAGGUCUCCUGAAGGAACGUUGAAGACGACGACGUUGAUAGGCCGGGUGUGUAAGCGCAGCGAUGCGUUGAGCUAACCGGUACUAAUGAACCGUGAGGCUUAACCUUACA